UGAAAAUUCGUAUGUAGAAAAACGCGGCGCGGCUGGACGCGAAGGAGAGUAAUUGCAUGUUUAAGGUGACGUUGUAGUUCAAGGCGGUUUAGUAGUUUUGUUGCGAACUUUUUCCAUUGUUCAAAUAAAAGAAACAUAAAAAUUUGAAAGCGAAAUAAAGCCAUA
Molecule: long non-coding RNA, 165 nt
Organism: Rhagoletis zephyria (snowberry fruit fly)
Lineage: Eukaryota; Metazoa; Arthropoda; Insecta; Diptera; Tephritidae
Source: RefSeq, a predicted model, not a curated record